This 607-nucleotide ribosomal RNA is filed under the name uncultured bacterium. RNAcentral describes it as "bacterial SSU rRNA". The stretch from base 1 to 518 matches the Rfam family "Bacterial small subunit ribosomal RNA", at positions 338 to 873 of the family's 1533-position model. The record is from RNAcentral.
CCUACGGGAGGCAGCAGUGGGGAAUAUUGGACAAUGGGCGAAAGCCUGAUCCAGCAAUGCCGCGUGAGUGAUGAAGGCCUUAGGGUUGUAAAGCUCUUUUACCAGGGAUGAUAAUGACAGUACCUGGAGAAUAAGCUCCGGCUAACUCCGUGCCAGCAGCCGCGGUAAUACGGAGGGAGCUAGCGUUGUUCGGAAUUACUGGGCGUAAAGCGUACGUAGGCGGUUAUUCAAGUCAGAGGUGAAAGCCUGGAGCUCAACUCCAGAACUGCCUUUGAAACUAGAUAGCUAGAAUCUUGGAGAGGUGAGUGGAAUUCCGAGUGUAGAGGUGAAAUUCGUAGAUAUUCGGAAGAACACCAGUGGCGAAGGCGACUCACUGGACAAGUAUUGACGCUGAGGUACGAAAGCGUGGGGAGCAAACAGGAUUAGAUACCCUGGUAGUCCACGCCGUAAACGAUGAUAACUAGCUGUUCGGGCUCUACGAGCUUGAGUGGCGCAGCUACGCAUUAAGUUACUCCGUCCGUGGGUAGGUACGGUCGCGAAGAAUUAAAACGUUAAAAGUAAGUUAGACGGCGUGAGACGUGCCGACGACGACGACGAGGGAGGUAGG